ACGGGAGGCAGCAGUGAGGGAUAUUGCACAAUGGGCGAAAGCCUGAUGCAGCAACGCCGCGUGAGGGAAGACGGUCUUCGGAUUGUAAACCUUUGUCUUCGGUGAAGAAGAAAGUGACGGUAGCCGAGGAGGAAGCCACGGCUAACUACGUGCCAGCAGCCGCGGUAAUACGUAGGUGGCAAGCGUUGUCCGGAUUUACUGGGUGUAAAGGGAGCGCAGGCGGGAUGACAAGUCAGCUGUGAAAUGUGUGGGCUUAACCCAUAAACUGCAGUUGAAACUGUUGUUCUUGAGUGGAGUAGAGGCAAGCGGAAUUCCGAGUGUAGCGGUGAAAUGCGUAGAUAUUCGGAGGAACACCAGUGGCGAAGGCGGCUUGCUGGGCUCUAACUGACGCUGAGGCUCGAAAGUGUGGGGAGCAAACAGGAUUAGAUACCCUGGUA
This 437-nucleotide ribosomal RNA is filed under the name uncultured Oscillospiraceae bacterium. RNAcentral describes it as "bacterial SSU rRNA". It matches the Rfam family "Bacterial small subunit ribosomal RNA", at positions 341 to 792 of the family's 1533-position model. The record is from RNAcentral. Lineage: Bacteria; Bacillati; Bacillota; Clostridia; Eubacteriales; Oscillospiraceae.